AAGUCGUAACAAGGUUUCCGUAGGUGAACCUGCGGAAGGAUCAUUAACACGAAUUUUAUCCAAUACCAAACCAAACGUGAACUUUUCCCCUCCCUAUUCAAAUGUUAGAAAUAAUAUUUGUUUAGGCUAACCUUUUUUUACUUCUAAUAAUUUAAUCUAACACUUCGGUGUUUUAUUAAUAUUAUUAUUAGUUCAAACCCCUUAAACUUUAACUUAAGUUGUGUUUUCUCUUUAUUGAGACUCAACUUACUAAACUAAAAACUAUUCUUUGAUUAAAUUUGAAGAAUACUUUUUUCGAUUACGAAAAAAACAAAAGAACAACUCUUAACAAUGGAUAUCUUGGUUCUC
RNAcentral lists this unclassified non-coding RNA (348 nucleotides) under fungal sp. Its description in RNAcentral is "partial internal transcribed spacer region". The stretch from base 1 to 46 matches the Rfam family "Eukaryotic small subunit ribosomal RNA", at positions 1786 to 1831 of the family's 1831-position model. The record is from RNAcentral. Lineage: Eukaryota; Fungi. RNAcentral also lists the same sequence under 1 other name.